RNAcentral lists this ribosomal RNA (2463 nucleotides) under Triticum aestivum (bread wheat). RNAcentral describes it as "partial small subunit ribosomal RNA". The record is from RNAcentral. Lineage: Eukaryota; Viridiplantae; Streptophyta; Magnoliopsida; Poales; Poaceae.
CGGCUGCGGCGAUACCGGCGCGUGAGGGAGGAGGUGGAGCGCCGCGGGUUCAGGCAGCGGGGGUGCAGGUGGGAGAGCGGCCGGCCGCGGCGGGUGGGGGCGGACGACGGGAGGGUGGCCGGAGUCGCGGACCAGCGCAGGACAUCGAGUCGGGUAGGACUGGAGCGGCGGAAGGGGUUGGGUUUGCCGGAGGACCACCGGCUCGGGCGACGCCGUCGCGGGCAGCUGUAACUGCACCGGUGCCUCCGGCUCGACGCCCUCUUGCCCAGGGCCUCAUGCGCGGCGUGGUUCGAGCAGACGUGGCACCCGGGGCGGUGGACGCCGGGGAGCCUCGACCUCCUCGACCGGCACCCCCCCUACUUGCAGCGCGCAGAGUUGUACACGGUACCCCUGGCGCUCACCGUGGUCUUCCAGUAGUCGAGGCACGCCUCCGAGUUGCUCCUCUUCCCCAUACGGCAACGGCAGUACUACCUGUGGCUCCCCUCGCUCUAGGUGUACCCCCUGGAGCCGCCGCGCGGUCGCCGGUUCCGCCUCCUACCUCUUUAGACCUGUAAGUCACAAUCUAGAAAACUCCGUGGAGAGGGUCUUGAUUGACAAGUACACUUGAUGCUUCCGAAGCGACUUCUACACUCUCAACCACUACUAGAAGAACACCUACCACCUUACCGAGCCAAACUCCAACAACUCUUUGAUCCUGGCCUACACUUCACGGCAACGUGUCUAGGACCAAACAACAACGGUGCACGGUUAGAAUGUAAAACCGCCCUACCGUCACAACAGGCGCGCUUCUUACGGUACGAAGGCUGUUAAUGUAGAUUCCUGACCGAACUGUAUCUGAAACCUUAACGGCUUCCACAUCUAAAAUAACGUCAAAGUAAACAAUUCAGUCGACUCCAAUAAUUGGUAGAUUUCUCGAUGUAUCGUCGUUCCUCGGCACCGUUACUAUAUCGCCAGUAACGUUUCUAGCUCUCGUAACUGAGAAACUGUUUGAACCUCCUCUAGUAGGCACGUAGUCUACCACGGUACCAUCGGUCUCCCCUGAAUCCCCGUGUUUAAGGGAACCUCGUCCAGGGAAGUUAUGUUGUUUUCUAUCAAUUUGACACGUCCGUCGAUUUGUUCGGUCAGCAACAACGAAGGGUCGAAGAGCUUAGCUACUAGCUCAUGGGAUAUGGGUGGUCCCGACUUCAACGACUACAAAGACUUCGUCAGGUGGUUACACGCCUACGAGACUACGAAAGACCGCUCAGUCGUUACCCAUCUAUAGGCCUGUUCCGUGAGUCACAGGAGUCAUCACAAUCGAAUUCCUAACUUUCUACCACCUCCCUCCUCUUCGUGGUACUCGGUGAUCUUGAACUCCUGCAAAGCAGAAGAAAGCGACUGUUUUAUAGUCUUCUCUAGACGUAAAGACGACGAUUUUACCGAUUGUUCAACCUUCACCUACGGCAAAAGCAGAUGUGCUUCCCACCGGUAUACCGGAGGGACGAAAGUGCCACGGCGGGACUGACGGGUUAGAAGCGGAAGUGCUUGAGCUGUAGGUACUCCUCUGCUGACUUGGAGGUUACCCCGGAGUAGGGGAAGGCGGAGUGAAAGAGGCUGCUGUACCUCUCAUUGGACUUGGCAUGAAAGAGGGACGAGUUCCGCUCUCCGUACUAGUUCGGGCCACUGGACCACUAGCGGGAGAGGCUGUACGACGUCAGGUAGGUCCACUACUUGCAUGGUAUUCUCCGUACUUAGGGAUCGGCACGACAAGACCGGUUUUGCUCUGUGACAAGAUCACAAACGUUAAAUAAGCACACAAGAACUUGCUCUGUGACAAGAUCACAAACGUUAAAUAUUCACACAAGAACAUAAAUCUGUCUGGACUCUUGAGUUGGCGCUGUUAUUAUUACACGACGUCAAGGAUCGGACGACAUUUUGAGUACAUGAUGCAUAAUAGGUCCUACCCGUCGCGGAAUGGCAGAGGCAGGCCGCGACGGGUCCCGGGGCCAGGUAGUUGCGGACGCGAAGGGCAGGGGCGACGGCGGAGGCGGGGGUCGGUACGUCACGAAGGAGGUGGCGCUAGGCCACGCCGCGGGAGCCCAGUCGUUGUUCUACCACCACUGCAGGGUACGUGAGUUCGUCGUACUUCAAGUGUUGCGCCAGAGGGAGAGGCGGUGUCUGGCCCAGGUGCGGUGGUUAGGGCACCGUCCCCCCUUCCGGUAGCUCCGCGUCGAGACGUACGGGGAGGUGGUGGGGCUCCGCAAGGAGCACGUGAAAUACUUCCUUUAUACGGGAUCUCCGUUAUUAUUUCGACAAUCAAAUAUAAAGGAAUAAGUACUAUUUCCAAGAACAACUAUUUUUUACCAAUUCCAAAAAAUUGGUACCUGUACUCAACAGUAAACUAUUGUUCUAGUAUAGUAAUCCUCUUACUACACUACCUGUUCUGGGUAGGUAAUCGAAUCGUAUUACUAACAAGUCAAAAUG